Non-coding RNA from Benincasa hispida (wax gourd), 2075 nucleotides. Lineage: Eukaryota; Viridiplantae; Streptophyta; Magnoliopsida; Cucurbitales; Cucurbitaceae. The record is from RefSeq and is a predicted model, not a curated record.
GCGGAGAGGCGCCUUCAUCACCGAUUCUGUUCGAGCAGCUACCUCCGAUGCGCGGAGCCACCGCGUCAUUGAUUGCUUUGCUUGCGCAUUGGCGCGAAGCAAUAUCAUGGUCGUCCCUUUUGUGGGUCCAGAAAAACCGACGUUCUGAUUGCUCAAUACAUUGAAGUUUUGGUGAUUAGUUAUUGCAUUUCUGCGCGUUUCCUGCGAUUUUGCUUCGUUAUGAAACGCCUCGGCUGGCUAGGGCUGUGCCGGCGGCAAUUACUUUCAUCUGUAGGCGUAGAGUCGUCCAUUGAUCCACGACUCCCGCUCGGAAAAGUUUCAUCGUUACGUCAGCUUUUUUCAUGUACCCGAGCGUUGCAAGCAUUUCCUUCUGCCGUCGGGAAAUCUACUGAUUUUGCCACAGCAUUACCAGCGAGUAGAUGUUUCAUACACGCCACAGGCUCAUGUCACUCUAUCGAACGAGAUUACUAUGAAAUUCUGGGGGUUCAACACAAUGCCAGUCGAGAAGAGAUUAAAAAGGCAUACCAUGCGUUGGCGAAAAAGUAUCAUCCGGAUGCAAAUAAGAACAAUCCUUCUGCCAAGAGGAAAUUUCAGGAGAUAAGAGAAGCCUAUGAGACUCUGCAGGAUUCUGAGAAGAGAUCCCAAUAUGACCAGAGACGUGGUGGAGAAUUUGAAAAUGUAGGGUUUGGUGCUGGUGGCACAGAGGGGUUUAGCUAUACUUAUCGAACCCAUUUUUCUGACUCAUUUCAAAAGAUUUUCUCUGAGAUCUUUGAACAUGAGACCAGCCGUUUUGCCUCAGAUAUUCAGGUUGACCUGUCAUUAUCUUUUACGGAAGCUGCAAAAGGAUGCACAAAGCAUUUGUCCUUUGAUGCUUUUGUUCCCUGUGAUUCUUGCUAUGGGCGUGGCUAUCCAGUAAAUGCAACAAAAAGAAGUUGCCCCACUUGCAGAGGUUUAGGUAGAGUUACUAUACCUCCGUUUACAUCAACGUGCACCACUUGCAAAGGAUCGGGUCAAAUCAUUAAGGAAUUGUGUGUGCAAUGCAGGGGAAUGGGGGUUGUAGAGGGUGUCAAGGAGGUUACAGUUACUAUACCUGCUGGGGUUGAUUCUGGAGAUACCAUUCGUGUGCCCGAAGCUGGUAAUAGUGGUGGACGAGAAAGUCAUCCUGGCAACUUGAUCAUUAAAUUGAAGGUUGCUGAAGAUCGUAUCUUUAAGAGGGAUGGUGUGGAUAUUUAUGUGGAUUCUAAUAUCUGCUUCACUCAAGCUAUUCUUGGGGGCAAGGUUGAGGUUCCAACAUUGUCAGGCAGGAUACAAAUAAAUAUACCAAAAGGCGUUCAGCCAGGACAUCUCCUAAUACUGAGAGGGAAAGGAUUGCCAAAACAUGGACUUUUUGUUGAUCGUGGAGAUCAAUAUGUGCGAUUCCGUAUUAAAUUUCCCACUGAAAUAAGUGAACGCCAACGUGCCAUUUUAGAAGAAUUUGCUGAAGAAGAAAUAAAGAAUGGGAUUGACGACUCAAAUAAAGCAAGUUGGUGGCAACGAAUUCUUAACCGUGUCGGGGAACCUAUGUUUGUUCUUGAAUUGUCCCUAUUAAUCUUGUUCAUUGUGCUCCUUACGUCAAGGGGCUGAACGAGGUCCAGAGGUUUCAGUGGGAGAUAUUUUGGCAAGUAACUAUUGAAGUGGGGAGGCAAUCUAUUCAUUCAAUAAAUUAAUGUAGAUAGAUACAAGGUCAAUUUUUCAGUACCUGAGUUGCAGUUUCAAAUUCGUAAAGAUUACUCGAGUUAACUUACACUUGUUCAGAAAAAUUUACAUAGAUACUACAAUGAGUAGUUGGAAGAUCUUUGAAUCUCUUCUCUGGAAGGAAGUUCUUUCUUUUCUUCGUUCCUCCACAAGCUUUCCUGUAGGUUUGAUCCUUUAUUUUUGACAACCACUCGCCACAGUUGAGCAAUGUAGCCAUUUUGAGAUUCUCAGCGGCUCAGGCUUUUGCUAUGAAUUUUUAAAAUUGACCCACAUUAUUUUGUACUGAUGAUGCACUAUUGAAUAUUACGUCUAUGAUGAUUAGUCUAAUCUUUCCUUCUGCA